Molecule: transfer RNA, 71 nt
Filed under: Pseudopus apodus (scheltopusik)
Lineage: Eukaryota; Metazoa; Chordata; Lepidosauria; Squamata; Anguidae
Description: tRNA-Gln
Source: RNAcentral
CUAGAAAAGCAGGAGUUGAACCUGUGCUAGAAAACCCAAAAUUUCCUGUACUCCCAUUAUACUACUUCCUA